ACUGCUGCCUCCCGUAGGAGUAGGGGGAAUCUUCCACAAUGGACGCAAGUCUGAUGGAGCAACGCCGCGUGAGUGAAGAAGGUCUUCGGAUCGUAAAGCUCUGUUGUUGGUGAAGAAGGAUAGAGGCAGUAACUGGUCUUUAUUUGACGGUAAUCAACCAGAAAGUCACGGCUAACUACGUGCCAGCAGCCGCGGUAAUAC
Molecule: ribosomal RNA, 201 nt
Filed under: Lactobacillus sp. L11
Lineage: Bacteria; Bacillati; Bacillota; Bacilli; Lactobacillales; Lactobacillaceae
Description: partial 16S ribosomal RNA
Rfam family: Bacterial small subunit ribosomal RNA
Source: RNAcentral